This is a long non-coding RNA of Homo sapiens (human), 818 nucleotides long. Ensembl annotates it as long intergenic non-protein coding RNA 1206. Lineage: Eukaryota; Metazoa; Chordata; Mammalia; Primates; Hominidae. The record is from Ensembl.
GUGGUGUUUUUUGACUGAAUCCUCUGAGCCAGAAAAAGUAGAUAUUGCUCACAUCGUUUGGCUUUGCAUUUUUUUAAUUCAACAAAUGAAAAAAAUAUACAUGUGUAGACACUGGGCUUCUCAUGGGCAUCUGACACUCACUUUGCUCUGAACUGAACUACUUCCCAAAGCUGCUUUUCCUCUUAUAUUCUUUGAUUCAGUGGUCCUGGAAUCCUUUGCUGAAAGACUUCUCCCAACUCAUCUAGUUGUUCAACGCUGCAGCAUUUUAUAUAUAUACCUAUAUCAUUGAAGUUGCCGUCACGACUGAUUUAUUAGUUUGUGCCUUUCACCAGGCUGGGCAGAGAUGUACCAAAUUCAUUUUUACUGAUAAGAACAUAAUGAAUGCUGAAUGAAUGAAUACAAGAAUAAACAGAAGACGUUCAGAAGAAAGUUCACUUGUUUCAAGAUUGUCAAGAAUGACGAGUUGGACUUGGUCUAGUUACUUCCACAGCAGCAGGAGGAACAUGUGUGUGACUCAGGAUAACUGGGGAAGCCUUGGCUAGGCUUUCCUCAUGUCAACCUACCACUCAAAGGGAGAAAACCUCCUGAUCAGAGGAAAUCCAUAAUUUUUGAAUGCUGGCCGAGGUCUGUGACCUCUGACUGAAUGGUUUCCAAGCUCCGAAUUCCUAGGUGAUGUUUUCAUUUGUUCACACUUGCUGAAGAAGGGAAAGGCUCUCUGAUUUACGUGUAAGCAAAACAAUCUAAACAGUAGGAUAAAAUCAUGUUGGAAUGGAGUUCUGUGUGGAUGCUCCUUUGAACCAAAUCAGUUCCACAACUGA